This 580-nucleotide ribosomal RNA is filed under the name Enterobacter hormaechei subsp. xiangfangensis. RNAcentral describes it as "bacterial SSU rRNA". It matches the Rfam family "Bacterial small subunit ribosomal RNA", at positions 889 to 1470 of the family's 1533-position model. Lineage: Bacteria; Pseudomonadati; Pseudomonadota; Gammaproteobacteria; Enterobacterales; Enterobacteriaceae. The record is from RNAcentral.
CAAGGUUAAAACUCAAAUGAAUUGACGGGGGCCCGCACAAGCGGUGGAGCAUGUGGUUUAAUUCGAUGCAACGCGAAGAACCUUACCUACUCUUGACAUCCAGAGAACUUAGCAGAGAUGCUUUGGUGCCUUCGGGAACUCUGAGACAGGUGCUGCAUGGCUGUCGUCAGCUCGUGUUGUGAAAUGUUGGGUUAAGUCCCGCAACGAGCGCAACCCUUAUCCUUUGUUGCCAGCGGUCCGGCCGGGAACUCAAAGGAGACUGCCAGUGAUAAACUGGAGGAAGGUGGGGAUGACGUCAAGUCAUCAUGGCCCUUACGAGUAGGGCUACACACGUGCUACAAUGGCGCAUACAAAGAGAAGCGACCUCGCGAGAGCAAGCGGACCUCAUAAAGUGCGUCGUAGUCCGGAUUGGAGUCUGCAACUCGACUCCAUGAAGUCGGAAUCGCUAGUAAUCGUGGAUCAGAAUGCCACGGUGAAUACGUUCCCGGGCCUUGUACACACCGCCCGUCACACCAUGGGAGUGGGUUGCAAAAGAAGUAGGUAGCUUAACCUCGGGAGGGCGCUUACCACUUUGGAUUCA